GUUGUAUGGUUAAGUGACUAAGCGUACACGGUGGAUGCCUUGGCAGUCAGAGGCGAUGAAAGACGUAGUAACUUGCGAUAAGCCCAGAUUAGGUAGUAACAACCAUUUGAGUCUGGGAUUUCUGAAUGGGGAAACCCACUUACAUAAGUAAGUAUCAUUAACUGAAUACAUAGGUUAAUGAGGCGAACCGGGGGAACUGAAACAUCUAAGUACCCCGAGGAAAAGAAAUCAACCGAGAUUCCGAAAGUAGCGGCGAGCGAAAUUGGACUAGCCCUUAAGCUUUACACGCGUUAGACGAACGGUCUGGAAAGUCCGACGAUACAGGGUGAUAGUCCCGUAGUUGACGACGUGUGUUCAGUGAAAUCGAGUAGGGCGGGACACGUGAUAUCCUGUCUGAAUAUGGGGGGACCAUCCUCCAAGGCUAAAUACUACUGACUGACCGAUAGUGAACCAGUACCGUGAGGGAAAGGCGAAAAGAACCCCUGUGAGGGGAGUGAAAUAGAACCUGAAACCGUGUACGUACAAGCA
This 528-nucleotide ribosomal RNA is filed under the name Vibrio parahaemolyticus. Its description in RNAcentral is "partial 23S ribosomal RNA". It matches the Rfam family "Bacterial large subunit ribosomal RNA", at positions 1 to 572 of the family's 2925-position model. Lineage: Bacteria; Pseudomonadati; Pseudomonadota; Gammaproteobacteria; Vibrionales; Vibrionaceae. The record is from RNAcentral.